Molecule: long non-coding RNA, 877 nt
Filed under: Mytilus galloprovincialis (Mediterranean mussel)
Lineage: Eukaryota; Metazoa; Mollusca; Bivalvia; Mytilida; Mytilidae
Source: RNAcentral
CCCCUCUUUAAGAAAAAUUUGUUUAAAAUAUGAUGUAACUCUCCUCUUUUUGAGUACAAAAUUCUAAGUGUUCAAAGGUUUUGUAUAGAAGAACUAUACAAAUCCUUGGUAUUUCUAUUUUCUUUUCUACAUCAGUAAAAUGACCCCUUGUCUGAGGGAGGGUUGUUCUCAACCUGAUAAUAACAAACACACAGGUCAAAGUACGGCCUUUUACACAGGGCUUUGAUACAGACCAAACAGUAAGCUAUAAAGGACCCCAAAAUUAUUAGCGUACACAAUUCGAACAGGAAAACCAACGAUCUAAUUUAUAUAUCCAAACGGGAAAAUACCAAUGAACAACAUCAACAAACGAUAACUGCUGAACGACAUGCUCCUGAAUCAAUCAGGACAGGUGCAUAAACAUGCAGCGGCUAUGGAUAGUUUUGUUUCGCCAGCAUACAAUAUAAUUGCAGUUGAAGGCAAAUCCUUCAGAAGUUCUUUGUACUUUAUUCUUUCACAACGAACAUUUUUUGAUAGGGAAUAUAAGUAAGGGGGAAAGAAACCAAUUUUUUGUUCUUCACGGAAAUACCCGCUGUUAUAACUUUUUAUCGGAGCACUCCAGGUUUCAUGCUGAAACAAAUAUUCUCACAGAUAUUUACACAGUGUGGUGGGGUGCUUUUAUGUUUAAAAUCGUUUAUACAGGUUAGACUGUGAUACAUUAACAAAUGUUGAUAUCUUUUUAUAAUAUUUACAAAAAAAAACGGUGCGGGAAAUGGACAUGAUUACAAUUCCGGAUGCGGGAAGCGGGAAUAUAAAAAAAUAAAAAAAAUUCUGUUUUGAAAAAAAUAGGUGCGGGCGGGUCCGUCGAACAAGGGAUCAAAUUGGUGUGGCCUAAAGG